RNAcentral lists this long non-coding RNA (983 nucleotides) under Gouania willdenowi (blunt-snouted clingfish). Its description in RNAcentral is "lncRNA (ENSGWIG00000021136.1)". Lineage: Eukaryota; Metazoa; Chordata; Actinopteri; Blenniiformes; Gobiesocidae. The record is from RNAcentral.
AUGGGAAUGACUUUGUGCCCCCAGUGCAGACUGUGCCCCCAGUGCAGACUGUGUCCCCAGUGAAGGCCCCAGUCUCACAAAAGGUGAAGAAGGCCCAGGCGAAGAAGGUGGCAGAGGGGCCAUACAUCAAAAAGCCCCUCAACGCCUUCAUGCUGUUCCUGAAGGCGAACAGGAAGUCUGCGGAGAAGGAGCUGGGCGUGAGGACGAGCGCUGUGGUGAACAAAUUCCUUGGUCAACAGUGGAAAUCAUUGUCACCAAAGGAGAAAUCCAAGUUUUUUACUAUGGCCAAAAAGGAAUCUUUAAUCCACUCCAAUGAGAACCCCGACUGGAGCAACAAAGACAACUAUAGAAUGAAGAGGAAACGAUGUCGGACCAAAGCCUGAAACAUGGACAUCCUCAAAACAUCAUCUUCCUGAACUGUCCUUUGUUUUGAUGGAGUUGAUGGUCCAUCCAACUGAGGGGUAUUCCAUAAAGGAGGGUUAACAAACUGAGUUUAUCCAUAAACUCUGUGUCAACAUACCCCGCGGUGGGAAACUCUGGGUAUCUGAUUCAUUACAGCUGGUAUGAAGUGGGUCAAUCAACCCUGCGUAGGUAAACCUUGGAUUACGUACGUGCACGCGCACGAUAAAAAGCCACCAUCAAUGGAUCAGAGAUUUACUCGAGCUGCCAUGACAACCAAACGGAAGAGUGUUAGGUUCUGUUUAUUUUAACCCUUGGGUCCUCUUUUUGUUGUGUCUUUGUUUAUUUGGUUUGUGUUAACUCGUCUGUGUUUCAGGGAUUCCUGUUUGUGGCUCCACCCCUCAGUGAUGUCUGUGUGCUUGGCUGGUGAAUGAUUAGCUCCCUCAUGUUUUCACCCAGGUGUGGCCCAUUCCCAAUCAGGCCUCCUCCACUAUUUAGCUGAGUGUUUGGACACAGUAUGGCUGCGGGAUCAUUGUGUGUUAAUGUGUGUGAUGUCAGGUUUGUUGUUACCUUCCUCGUGUCUG